Molecule: ribosomal RNA, 252 nt
Filed under: uncultured bacterium
Lineage: Bacteria
Description: partial 16S ribosomal RNA
Rfam family: Bacterial small subunit ribosomal RNA
Source: RNAcentral
GACGUAGGGGGCCAGCGUUGCUCGGAAUUACUGGGUGUAAAGGGUUCGUAGGCGGUGUGGCAAGUCGGGAGUGAAAUCUCUGGGCUCAACCCAGAGUCUGCAUUAGAAACUGUCGGGCUUGAGUAUGGGAGAGGUGAGUGGAAUUUCCGGUGUAGCGGUGAAAUGCGUAGAUAUCGGAAGGAACACCUGUGGCGAAAGCGGCUCACUGGACCAUAACUGACGCUGAGGCGCGAAAGCUAGGGGAGCAAACAG